This 199-nucleotide long non-coding RNA is filed under the name Capsicum annuum. RNAcentral describes it as "long non-coding RNA (CANN_LNC020664)". Lineage: Eukaryota; Viridiplantae; Streptophyta; Magnoliopsida; Solanales; Solanaceae. The record is from RNAcentral.
AGCCCUAAUUACUCAACCACGGUCUUCUAGCUGUAGUCGCGGUCAGUCAAGAUGGUUAGAGUAAUGUGGUCACAGAAUCUAACUGCAGCCAUAUAUGCGCAGUCUCAGUUAAAUACAUGCGAUCACGGAUCAGCGGGAACUGGCCCAAGGGCAGAAUUAUAAAAUAUCAUGGACGAAUCAAAUUAUUUCUAAGCAAAAA